RNAcentral lists this non-coding RNA (179 nucleotides) under Sporomusa sphaeroides. RNAcentral also lists the same sequence under 1 other name. The record is from RNAcentral. Lineage: Bacteria; Bacillati; Bacillota; Negativicutes; Selenomonadales; Sporomusaceae.
UCACAAAAAAUGAGUACAGGUGCCCUGCGGGGCUUAAUAGGGAAGUCCGGUGCAAAACCGGCGCGGUCCCGCCACUGUAACACGGAGUCAGCCCUUACCAUGCCACUGGAAACACUUUCGGGAAGGCUGGGCGGAUGAUGAACUGGAGCCAGGAGACCUGCCUGUACGGAAAGUCUUCG